Molecule: long non-coding RNA, 418 nt
Organism: Engraulis encrasicolus (European anchovy)
Lineage: Eukaryota; Metazoa; Chordata; Actinopteri; Clupeiformes; Engraulidae
Exons: 3
Source: RefSeq, a predicted model, not a curated record
UAUGUCAACAACAGUAAUCACUCAGUGCCCUGAUCUGGAAGAAGACGAAUGGAUGGAGAUAAAGGGGGAGAUUAACGGCAGGAAAAAGUGAAACGGCCCAGCGUUUUUGCCUGGAAAAGUUUGAUGACUGCUGAGCUAGUAGUAGUGACAAGGCCCCAACACCUCCAUCAACCUGGUCAACACACCAUUUGGAGAUUGCCUAGCUUCUGCACAGAGCUCUCAAGUGUUAUCUGAGCCUGAUGAUAUGCUCAUGCCCAGGCGAAAUUCCCUGACCACCAUGCAAGAUGUGAGACGAAUAAUAAGACAGAAGUACAACAACAUGAGCUACACCAAGCAAGUAAACGAAAAUAAGUCCUAAAUGUCAAAAUGUUAUGUAAAAAUAAAUAUGAAAUAAAAAAUAAAUCAAUCUUAUUUUGAA